GAUGAACGCUGGCGGCGUGCCUAAUACAUGCAAGUCGAACGCUGGAAAUCUAGCUUGCUAGAUGGAAGGAGUGGCGAACGGGUGAGUAAUAAAUAAGCAACCUACCCACGAAGACUGGGAUAAUAUCUGGAAACGGGGACUAAUACCGGAUAGGUAAUCGGAAGGCAUCUUCUGAUUAUUAAAGGUUAAAAACACUGGUGGAUGGGCUUAUGGCGCAUUAGUUAGUUGGUGAGGUAACGGCCCACCAAGACGAUGAUGCGUAGCCGGCCUGAGAGGGUGAACGGCCACAUUGGAACGGGGACACGGCCCAGACUACUAAGAGAGGCAGCAGUAGGGAAUUGUCGGCAAUGGGGGAAACCCCGACCGAGCAACGCCGCGUGAGUGAUGACGGCCUUCGGGUUGUAAAGCUCUGUUGUAAGGGAAGAACGGUAGAUAGAGAAUAUCUAAAUGACGGUACCUUACCAGAAAGCCACGGCUAACUACGUG
RNAcentral lists this ribosomal RNA (486 nucleotides) under uncultured bacterium. RNAcentral's name for it is "partial 16S ribosomal RNA". It matches the Rfam family "Bacterial small subunit ribosomal RNA", at positions 28 to 507 of the family's 1533-position model. The record is from RNAcentral.